Molecule: ribosomal RNA, 497 nt
Filed under: uncultured bacterium
Lineage: Bacteria
Description: partial 16S ribosomal RNA
Rfam family: Bacterial small subunit ribosomal RNA
Source: RNAcentral
GAUGAACGCUGGCGGCGUGCCUAAUACAUGCAAGUCGAGCGAACGGACGAGAAGCUUGCUUCUCUGAUGUUAGCGGCGGACGGGUGAGUAGCACGUGGAUAACCUACCUAUAAGACUGGGAUAACUUCGGGAAACCGGAGCUAAUACCGGAUAAUAUUUUGAACCGCAUGGUUCAAAAGUGAAAGACGGUCUUGCUGUCACUUAUAGAUGGAUCCGCGCUGCAUUAGCUAGUUGGUAAGGUAACGGCUUACCAAGGCAACGAUGCAUAGCCGACCUGAGAGGGGGAUCGGCCACACUGGAACUGAGACACGGUCCAGAGUCCUACGGGAGGCGGCAGAAGGGAAUCUUCCGCAAUGGGCGAAAGCCUGACGGAGCAACGCCGCGUGAGUGAUGAAGGUCUUCGGAUCGUAAAACUCUGUUAUUAGGGAAGAACAUAUGUGAAAGUAACUGUGCACAUCUGGACGGUAAAUAAUCAGAAAGCCACGGCUAACUACGUG